RNAcentral lists this long non-coding RNA (3148 nucleotides) under Mytilus galloprovincialis (Mediterranean mussel). The record is from RNAcentral. Lineage: Eukaryota; Metazoa; Mollusca; Bivalvia; Mytilida; Mytilidae.
CUUGGUUUUCGCACAAUAACUUUAGUAUAAGUAAAUAGAAAUCUAUGAAAUUUUAACAAAAGGUCUAUGACCACAAAAGGAAGGUUGGGAUUGAUUUUGGGAGUUUUAGUCCCAACAGUUUAGGAAUUAGGGCAAAAACAGGUCCCAAAUAAGCAUUUUUCUUAGUUUUUGCACUAUAACUUUAGUAUAAGUUAAUAGAAAUCUAUGAAAUUUUAAGACAAGAUGACCACAAAGAAAAUGUUUGGAUUGAUUUUGGGAGUUUUGGUCCCGACUAAUUAGGGGCCAAAAGGGGCCAAAUUAAACUUAAUUUGUUUGAUUUCAUCAAAAAAUGAAUUAUUGGGCUUCGUUGGUAUGCCAUAUCUGACCGUGUCUUCAGAUUCUUAAUUUUUGGUCCUGUUUUCAAAUUGGUCUACAUUAAGGUCCAAAGGGUCCAAAAUUAAACUUAGCUUGAUUUUAACAAAUUCUUGGGGUUCUUUGAUAUGAUGAAUCUAAACAUGUACUUAGAUUUUUGAUUAUGGGUCCAGUUUUCAAGUUGGUCCAAAUCAAGGUCCAAAAUUAUUAUAUUAAGUAUUGUGCAAUAGCAAGAAAUUUUCAAUUGCACAGUCUUGCCCAAUAGCAAGAAAUCUUCAAUUGCACAGUAUUGUGCAAUAACAAGAAAUGUUCAAUUGCACAGUUUUAUGAAAUAUGCUUUAAUAAUUGUAUUUAUCUUCCUUUGUCCAGAAGAGUAGUUGAAUUAACUUAAAUCAUUGUUUUAUACAAUAUACAAUGUAUAUUCACUUUUACUACCAACUAAUAAAUUAAAACAAUCUUUACCAUUCAGUGAUUACAAGCACUUUUUUUACAUUUUUAUAUUUUAAGAUGUAUCUAAAUGAGUAGUUAUUGUUGCAAACUCCAUUAGAAAUUUGAAUUGAGAUCAGUUUUGGUAUAAGGGAAAGGAGGAUGUGAAAAACAUGGGGGGGGCAAUUUUUCUCAUUUCUGAUUUCAUAAAUAAAAAGAAAAUUUCUUCAAACAUUUUUUUGAGAGGAUUAAUAUUCAACAGCAUAGUGAAUUGGUCAAAGGCAAAAAAAAUGUUUUAAGUUCAUUAGACCACAUUCACUGUGUGUCAAAAACCUUUGCUGUGUCAACUAUUCAAUCACAAUCCAAAUUUAGAGCUGAAUCCAGCUUGAAUGUUGUAUCCAUUAUACUUGCCCCAACCGUUCAGGGUUCAACCUCUGUGGUCGUAUAAAGCCGCGCCCUGUGGAGCAUCUGGUUAUUUUUUCAUUUACAAUUUUAUAUCGAUUAAAAAAUAUAUGUUUGACUGAAAGCCUAGCGUUCAUACAUGGUUUGAGUAAAAUGAUUCAUUCCUUCGUUAAUAUAUGAAUACGUUCGUUAAUAUAUGAAUACGACAUUCGCAUCAUUGAAAUUGGGUGCCGAUUUUUUUGGGGGUAUUUUUUGGGGGGUAUUUUUUUUGUUUGUUUUUCUUUUUUUCUUUAAAUCCUGUACACAAAAUAAAAUUUGAGAUUUGUUCAAUAGCACUGUAUUUCUUAUUUUCCGACUUAACUUUGUCACUUUUUCAGAUCAAAAUACUUUGCCAAAUGAUGUUUAACACGCGUCUGGCGUACUAAAUUAUAAUCCUGGUACCUUUGAUAACUAUUAAUGUAUAAUUUCAACAGUUUUCCUGUUUAUGAUAUUAAAUUAUAAAUUUCGAUUUCAAACUUGUGUAGCGUUACUUUUGUUGACUAGUAUACUUGAUGAAUGUGUGAUAGAUGAAAACAUGUGCUUCUGUCCUCCGUCUUGUGUUUCUUAACAGCUACAGAUGAUAACUUCUUUGUAUUAUAUUCUAGCUUUGAUAAGAUAAGCCUUACAAUAUUAUAAAUUUUUCUGUCGUGCGUAUACUUUUUGCAUGACAAAUAAAUGUUUUACUUUAAAAUGUAAAGAACUGAUAGCAUUGUUCUUUUUACACGGUUUUAAGUUCGGAAAUGUCAGCAAACAUUAUAACACAGAUUUCUGUGAAUUUACAUUGUUAAAAGAGUUUUUACUAUUCUCCUCUAGUUUCAGGUAAACAAAAUGAUUGAGAUGGUUGGUUGAACAAAAAUUAACCGGACAAAACCAACAGGCAGUUAUAUCGUUAUAUAUUAUAUAUAGUUUGUGGACUUGAAAUUGUUUUUGUUAAAAUGUUCAAUACGGUAUGAUUUUUUAAAAUUUUUCUUCAAGUAUUCCUGACUAUAACUUUUUUCGGAGAUGAAAAAGAAAAACAGAAAAAAGAAAGUCAACAAAGCAUUACAAACCCAAUGAUGAAUUAUGUCAUCCGGAACGGUCAGCAGUUUUUGAAUAUAGACGCAUCAUGGUAUGUCAUGAUUUUUGUAGUCUAUGAAAUUUGACAAAAAAUAAGCAAGGAGUCAAAAGUACAGAUGUACUUUGGAGAUAAAGUUAAAUUUUGAAGAAAAAAAAUAUCAGAAUAUAUUUUUUGUCAUCUUUUUAUUAUAACGUAUUGCUUAUGACAUAUGUGAUUUUGUCUUAAUACUUAUAAAUUUAUGGUUGCAAACUAUUAAUUAUAUGAUAUGAAUCUUUUUUAUUGUACAGAUAAUUUAAAUGUGUUCAUUUGAUGUACCCCGCUCAUAACACCUUAAUUUGUAAAACAUGUGCCUUUGUCCAACAAAUUAGUGCAUUGCGCAUUAUGGAGUCAUAAAUAUUUUAUCUGGAGUCAGUUUCAUAACCAAAAGAAAACUUACGACUAUUAACGAUUAAUUGUAAGUCUUGAACAAUUCAACUAGUGUACUUACGAUCAAUCUUAGUCGUAAGUAUUUAUGUGAAAACAUACUCUUGCAUUUAUUGCUAAAUGAAACUAAGGCAUUAUGCCAUUAAUCGUCCAAAUUACUAUAGUAUGAAGAGACUGUUCUAAUUUUUUAACAUGACGCCGUUUUCAAUAAUCAUGAUGUCUUGAACGGCAAUUUUAAUUUCUUUGCAGCAAAGAAUCAAAAUAGCAGUUCAAGACGUCGGGCGUCAGAGAAAACAAAUAUAAAUCGCCUUUAGAAAUAAAAAAAAAACUAUAUUAAAGGUUUCAUAUGAUUAUUUGGACUACUGAAGAAAAUGCUAAAUUAAAUAUGUGUGAAUCUAAUACAGCGCCAUAUGAUGCUCUGCAGGACAGAGAAGUGUUGUAAGUGUUGGG